RNAcentral lists this long non-coding RNA (15229 nucleotides) under Heterocephalus glaber (naked mole-rat). RNAcentral's name for it is "lncRNA (ENSHGLG00000038627.1)". Lineage: Eukaryota; Metazoa; Chordata; Mammalia; Rodentia; Bathyergidae. The record is from RNAcentral.
GAUUACGUAAAGGUGCAGAUUUCCAAUGAUGAAUGUCAUUAUAUUGUACACCUAAAAUGUACCAAUAAAAUUAAUUUUUAAAAUCUAUAAAAUUUAUACCUGCAGAUUUUACUCAUUUUAAACCUAUGACUAUGCCAUAAUUUGCAUGUUCUUCUGCUAAGUAAAGCAGUUGUCACUAGUUGUCACUAGUUGAUAAAAAUUUUUAUAUAACUUUUCUUUUGAUUUUCUUUAAGAUUUCUUUUGGAGUGUUUUUCAUUUUCCACAUCCAUGGAUUGUUUUUAAAGAUUGUUUGCUGUCAUCGCAUUUGAGUCAGUUAACAUGACCUGGAUAACAUCAAUUUCCUGGAUUUGUGUUGAUUUCAGAAAAAAAAAAUGAUAAAUCCAAGAAGGCAACCUUGGUUUAAAAUAGAAGAAGGUACUGGUAAGAAAAUAAAGCUUUUAUAGGAAAUGAUUUUAUUAUUCUGAAAUACUGUGUGUUCUUACUAUACCACAGUAGUUAUUAUCCUCAUUACAUAAAAAACCAGAAUUUGGGAAAUUUUUUUUUUUUGGUGAUCUCAGGGAUCCAUAAAACAAACAGAUGGGAAAGGUCAUAUUUACAUUUAAUUUCUGCAUUGUCUCCUGCUUUUGCUAUGAAAAAUCCAGCAGUUAGGAGUUUAUGAGUUAGAGUCUGCUCUGCCUGAGCUCCUCAAUGCAAAGUUCUUGGGAUUUCAUUCAGUGUCAAGCACAAAGUUCCUGUUUAUCUGCUGAGGGCAGUAUUCAUUUCACGUAUCUAAGGUAUUGUUGAUUUAAUUUGUAGACUGAAGUUAUAGGAGUGGGAGCUUUCUUCCUUAACAUGUAUGAAUUCUGUUGAUAAAUUGCAUAGACUCUUUGAACCCAUGCAUCUAGUUUUUCUCCAUCAUAGCUGUGGAAGUAAAAUUAAAAUGUGACUAUAGCAAAUUCUAACUCAAAUAGAGUUUUCUUCAAUGAUUUCUUUGUUGCCAAGUAAGUGGUCAUUAUUUGUGAAUGUUCCAAACAGCUUAAAAGCAUAUGUUUUCUACUUGCUACAAUUUCUUCUUAAAUGAAAAUUCUUUUGGUUUUCAAGCAUUGCUAAAUAUUUACUAGUUAAAUUUUAUUAUUCCUAUAAAUUUGAUAAAUGUGGUGAGGAAAAAAUGGCAGCAUGUGGACAGUUUACUGCCCUGGAUAUUCAUUACUCUCAAAUAAGACUAAAAUACAUAAGUGCCAAUUGGUGGUUGUCUUGGAAUUUCUUGAUAUUUCUUCUUGAUAUUUCUUUGCUGAGUAUUUUAAAAACAAAAAACUGAAGCCAGGUAGGUACUUUUCCUUUUUGGUGAAUUUCUUUUCUUUUUCUUUUGGUACCGGGGAUUGAACUCUGGUCCUUGCGCUUGUGCAGCAGGUGGCGAAACCGCUGAGCUAAACCCCCGGCCCCUUUGGUGAAUUUCUUUACUGCUCCCUCCGCCAAGUCUGAGUAUGCAUGAAUACUAUUCUCCAGCAGACUAAUGUUAUAAUUACUAUCUCAUUGAAGGAAACAUUGGUUGCAAUCAGACAAACAAACUUUUCUCACUUUUGAUACCAAGGACAGGAAGAUUUGUGCAGCGUGACAGUAUGAGGGUAAUAUAGAAACUCCAGUAGGCAUACAGGUUUUUAAUGGAAUCUUGGCUUUAAUGCUCUGUUAGGGAGCAGUAUCUAUAGAUUUGCCCUUCUAUUAAAACAGAUAAGCAUAUGCAGCCAGAUGAUGCAGAGAUUUUUUUUUUUUUAAAAAACGAACUAAUUAUAGUAACUUUCUGCUGUAACUUGACAACCACUUUGAGUAAACUAAAUGUAUUUCCUACUUACACUUGCAUAGAUAAUACAAGAGUUUCUCAUAUGUGCUGAGCACCUGGUUUUAAUGUCAGGAGUAGUGUGAACAAACACCUGGCCUCUUGCUAAUGACUCAGAGGUACCUUGAUUCAUGAACUUAAUUCAUUCCAUGGUUCAUGGAGUUCUGGUCAUGAACUGAAUCAGAUUUCCCCAUGUAGUUAAAUGUAAAUAAGGUUAAUCCAUUCUUACCCCUGCAAACCUGGUCGCAAACAGAUUUUUGGUCACGAACUGAGUCAAAUUUUCCCAUAAAGUUAAAUUGGAAAUAAAGUUAAUCCAUUUUGAAACACAUGUAACAUUAUUAAAUCACAGAACUAGGAAACAAAGUACUGUAUGCAGAGAGAAAAUACUAGCCUUGUUUGAAGUGACUUAGGGUCUGGAGGACAGCAAGGUCAUGGGGAGGAGGUUGUUGUUGGGAGAGAGUCCCCUCCAUAAGGACGUGGGAAGGCCUCCUUCAGGAGUUUCUUUGUCUCCUAGCUGCAGGGUCAAUUUUAAUGAAAGAUCUGCCUAAUGUCACUUGCUUUUUCCUGUGCUGUGUGACCCUCCAGAAAUGAGAGACCACAUGAUUGCUCGGCAGAUACAACAUUCUGUUUGUUAGUUAUGUUGGGCUGGUGCUUCUCAAAGAAAUCCCGGCACUCAUUCCCUUUUUCCAUGUUGCAUUUUAUCACGUCCCUGGUAACCUCCUCCCUGUCUUCCUUUUCCUCGGUGGACUGCACUUCAACAAUCACCUUCUACUGUUCACUCUGGAAUUCAACAAGUUCUUCCAUUCGCAGCUCUUCCUUAUGGCCCUCAACGAGCUCCUCUAUGUCUGCACCAUCGAUGUCCAGACCCAUCCUCUUGCCCAUGGACACAGUCUCCUCCACUGCCUGUGCAUCUGGCCCUUCAAAGCCACAUUCAGUGACACAUUCUGGCCGCAGUUUCUCCAGGCUGAUUUAGGGUCUAGUAUGUGACAUCUUCUCAGGGUUUGUCAACGCGACUGAUUCAAUACGGGAUAUUGAAAUAUUUCUUCCAGAACUCUGACGCAGGGAUGUCUCUUCAGUAACAUUAAAACACCUGGUGGAUAGCUCUUUUGUGUACAGCUUUUUGAAGUUGCAGAUCACUUCCUGGUUCAUGGGCUGCAGAAGAGGUGUUGUGGGUGGGGAAAGAACUUGAUCUUUAUGAAAUCAUACUCAGCAUCCAUAUCAUGCACUGGAGGGUAUGCUGGGGCACUGUCCAUCAGAAGAAGGCACCUUUCAGGCAGCUGGUUGUCAAAAAGAUAUUUCUUAACAAUGGAUACAAACACCUCUUGCAGCCAUUUCAUGCACAAUUACCUUGCGACCCAAGCUCUCAUGUUGGCACUCCACAUGACAAGUAGUCUGGUUCUUGUUCCCUUGAAUGCGUGAGGGAUCUUGGAAUGGUACGCCAGUAGUGGCUUCAGAUUGGCGACUGUGUUCCCACACAACAAAAGCGUCAGCCUGUCCUUCAUGGGUUUGUGCCCCAGCAGUGCAUUUUUCUCCUUCAUGAUACAGACUUUGUCAGGCAUCUUCUUCCAGAAGAGCCCUGUUUCAUCACAGUCGAACACUUGUUGAGCGAUGUAUUAUUCUGCCUCCAUGAAUUCUGUGAAUUCUUUUUUGUAGGCUUCUGCAGAAGCCUUGUCAGAAUAGAAGCCUCACCCUGUCUUAUCACACUGUGGAUGCCACUUCUCUUGCAGAAUUUAUCAAACCACCCUCUACUGUCUUUCAAUUCAUCCCUUGUUGCCUUCAUUAACAAUAACAAAACAUAACCCACAUUUAUGUUCUAGGUUCUAGUCUCAGUGUUUCAUGUGUGUUCUCUCAUUUCAUCCCUACAGCUGCCUUAUGAGGCAGGAGAGUAAGAAACAUACUGCCUUUGUGGAGUUAUUGUGAAGAUGAAAUGGAGAGAAGGUAAACCACUGGGGAGAAGGGUGUUGACCUACAGAGACUUCAACCAAUGCUACCAUCAUUAUUAAUGUAACAAACAAAAACAAAAGUCACAAAGGAUACUAGUAAGAAUGUGAAUGUGCUCCAGACACAGAGGUGGUAACUGGAUUGGCAAGACAGAGGAGGGAAUAUUAACCACCGGGUGACUUCCAAAGGGUAGAGAUUGAUGGACCAUGCAAGGAGGCUGCAGUCACAGACAGACCUGUACACAUACGCUGUGAAGUCUAUUUGUAUGCUUUUUAGCACAUGCUGCACCAGUACUAGAACCUAGAACAUAAAUGUGGGUUAUGUUUUGUUAUUGUUCAUGAAACAUAGCCUGCCUGUAUGGAUAAUGAGCCCUCCCCCCUUUGUAACCUUUACAUACCCUUUAUCUGGACUUUGGUUUCUGAGGGCUUUGGGUCCCAGCUAAAUGUUUUCCCAAAGAAUCUUUCCAGUUAAGCAGGGUUGGGGCAGCCAGAGUGAAACUUAGAAUCCCUUAAGACCAAGCUUCCAACUUUGAGUUCAAGAACACAUAUUUUAGGUGUUUUAGGUUUCUCCUUCCUAAGGUCCCACUGAAAGGCAGUAAAUACAUUGUGAAAAGGUAUAAAGUUAACAUAUUUUCAGAUAAAUGAAAUUUUAGGGGUUUUCUCACACACACCUGCACUAUAAGAAAUGCUACAGUUCCCUUUUGCUGGAGGCUAAUGAUACCCGAUGAAAAUUUAAAUAUGGGAAGAAAUGAAGAGUUCUAAAUAUAUACCCAUAUUUAAAAAAAAAAAUUUUAGUGUAUUUUAAAAAAACUUUUUAAUUUUAAGAGUUUCUUUAAAGGGCAACUAAAUUUAAAAUAAAAUUAUUAACAUAUAAAUGUAAUGCCAAAAGAAGCAUAAAAGACUUGGAUGAGUGGAAUUAUUAUUCUCCCAUGUGUCACAUGAGUUGGUUCCAUAAUAAUUUCAAGUAGGCAGAUAAAUUAGGCAGGCAUAUUGUAAUCCUUAGAGCAACAACUAAGAAUAACACUAAGGGGCAUAGCUAAAAGGAAAUAAAAUAUAACACUAAAACAGAUUUGAUUAACUAGGAGAAGAGAGAGGGAAAAGUGACAAUAAAAAGUAAUACCACAAGCAAAAUAACCAACAAACAGGCCAUAUAAGAAGAAAGAGGGUGUAGAAUUGCCCUUCACACUAAAUAGCUAAAAAGCCAAACAAUAUAUAGACCUACUGUUUGCAGACACUGGACAAUAGACGGUGAUGGGAAAAGGAAGACAGUCAUGAAGAGGGCUCCCAGAACCUCUGGCUGGAAGGGCUGUCCUGAAGGAAGGAGGAAUUAAACAGCAAUGCAGUCUCCCUAAAUCGAAGAGAGGUCAGAGUUUGGGGUAGCUAAAGCUGCUAAAAUUUGUGCAGCAGAAUACCCAAGACAGAAAGAGUCCUAAAAGUCUGAGUCUGGCUGAAUACAAAUCUGCUUGUGUAUACAUAGAGUCAAAUCAUAUAAGGUAAUCUAAAACAAAUUCUAGGAAUUAUCACUGCUCAGAAACAAUUCAGUUGUUUAGGGAACAAUUUGGGCUAUAAACAGAGCAUUUAAUAAGUUUGAUUUGGUUUCUUAUUGCUUAUUCAACCUCAGAAUGAAAAAUAGUCCUACCCUGCUCCUGAAAAAAAAGAAAAAAGAGGAGAAAAGAGCAUGAUUCUAAAGAAAGGCCCCAUCAAAGUAUGUCAUUGUGCCGCAUGUCUCCCCACUACCCUGCAUGCCUUUCUCUAAUUGUGAAGCUGAAUUCCAACACUCAACUCCUUGACCAUGCUGGUCGAUGUACUGGACGAUCACCAGGCUUACGGUGGUGAUACGGUGAUAAGAUGAAGAAGCAAGAAGAAGGAAGGCUGUGUCUUGCUUCCGAUGACCUGUGGAGAACGAGCUGAGAGUAGAACUGUCUAGGCCAAGGUGCCCAGUCUUCCUUAUUCUCCUGGGCCUGACAGGAAACAUCUGGGCACAUAAGCUUAAGAUGGAACAAUGUCUGGCCAUGUAGUUUAUCCCAAGGAAAUGCUUUAAAGCUAUCUGAUGAGAUCAUAUUUUACAUCUUUAUGUAAGUGGCUAAAGGAUUCAAGUUUGCAGCAUUCCAAAUGAAACCUCGGGAGAGAACUCACCAGCUGCUGAGUUAAGGGUGAGUGACAGGAUUUGGGAUUAAGGAUAUCUUGUAUGCAGAACUAAAAUCCCAAUUCAUUUCCCAGUGAUUGUACAUUGAGGAGUGGCUUAAUAGCCCAGGAGGAAUGGAAUGAGCUGAAUGAGAUAAAGUGUAAUUUGGUAUCUUAGACGCUUUAAAUAUCGAAAAGACAUUUGGCUGUUCAUAGAGAAUUUUCACGUUAUUUACAUAGCUGGCCUUUGGCGGUUCCCCAAGGUCCAGUCUACACAGGUCCUAGGGUCUGUGGGCUUGGCUGGGUAUUUAUUGCUCAUACUGUUCUGCAUCCACAAGCUGUGGCUGACACCAUCUGUCUUUAGUGCUGUAGUAACUGUACACUGGAGUUUUUCUGGAAAUUUAAGACCAGUCAGUUUUUCAGCCUUCUAUGCCAUUAUCCUUGCCCAUUAAGCCAAAAUUUAAUGCUUCUCCAUAUCAGUUUUAUUGCUUGUUAUCUCCAACCCUACCUCUCAUUGUUAGCUCUACAGUACAGGUCCUUCACGUUUCUCCUUAGAGCUGGUGUGCUAUUAAGCUUUGUCAAGAGAGUGUGUAGGAGUGACAUGAAAGGAAGCGACCUUUCUCUUCCUAGUGGUGGUGUUUCAUUAACUUCCUAUUUCUGCGGCGAGAUCCAUACAGAGGUGCGCUCCCCCACCAAAUUUCAGCACGCCCCUAGGAAGAUUUCCUAGGAGUCCUGUGGGCACCCCUCUGGUCCCUUCCUCUCUCAGCCUAAGGGGUGUUUCCUGGGUUCCAGUGCAGCAGGAGAAAUAGCAACCCCAAAGAUGUCCACGUCCUAAUAUUUAGAACCUGUGACUAUGUUAUGUAAGGUUGUGGAGGAAAUUAAGGUAACUGACAGAUCAUUCUAGAUUGUCCAGAAAAAGGCAGAAAAUGGAGUCAGUGAGAGUAAUAAUGGAAGCAAUUUUAGAGUAUUGCAAUAUGAGAGCUCAACCUGCUAUUGCUGACUUUGAAGAUGGAAAGCUUUGAAGAGCUCUAGCAUGGUAGCUAGAGAUGCAGCAGCCAUCUUGUGACCAUGAAGGACCAAAAGAAUUGCAGGAGAAUAGGCCUUGUAAUUAUGAAACUCUGCCUACUCCUGCAGCCUCUCACCUCAAGAUUUCUGGGUAUAUAAAACAAAAACAAAACAGACACCACUGAUUUUCUUUAAAGUACAAUGAUUACUUGCAGCCAAAAUGAAUUCUGUUGCACCAUACUAGGAAGAAUCUGGUCGUUCUUCUCUAAGUUUUCAUUUCACAGGUGGCACAGUUUUCUAGUCCAUUGUCAUCAAAUAUUUAUUAAUUUUUGUUUGCCUGUCUCACAUUUCUAAUGGUCUGAGCUCCUUGGGGUCAAGAAAUUAAUUUUAUUGGUACACUUUUGAUAUGCAUAAUGACCACUUUUGUAGUAGGGAAUUUGUGCCUGUACAUAAUAUAUCUUGAUUCUUCAUUUUUUCCCAUUCCCUUCCCCUCUCUUCAACCCUUCUUCCCCCACUUUACAAAAAUUUUACUUCCAUUUUUUAUUUCUAUUUUUUUCCUUUUCCCUUCCCUCCCUUCACCCAUGUGAACAUUUUCUUUCCACUUCCCAAUAUCUAUCAUCCAUUUUGGUCCUUAUUUAUGCUUUCCAGUUUCACAUAGAAACAAUGUGAUAUUUAAACGUAUGGCUGAUCUCGUGGUCCAUCCAUUUACCUAAAAAUGUCUCAAAUUUAUCCUUCUUUAUGGCAGAGUAAAACAUCAUUGUAUGUAAAAACCACAUUUUCUUUAUCCUUUCAUCCAAUGAUGCUCAUCUGGGCUGUUUCCAAGAUUUAGCUAUUAAAAAUUGUGCUGCUAUAAACAUGGGUGUGCAUAUAUCACUGUGGUAUGAUACUUUUAACUUUUUUGGGAAGAUACCAAGAAGGGGAAUAGGUGGGUCAAAUGGAACCUCUAGUUUAAGUUUUUUGAGGAAUCUCCAUAUUUCUUUCCAUAUUGGCCAUUUAUCUUCCAGCAGAUUGUUUCUGUUUUAAUAUUUAGAUCUUUGAUCCAUUUUGAUUUUAGUUUAGUGCAUGUUGAGAUAUAUUGGUCUAGGUUCAAACUUCAGCAUGUACAAAUCCAGUUUCCCCAGCACCACUUAUUAAAGAGGCUGUCUUUCUCCCAGUGAAGACAUUUGGCCACUUGGUCAAAAAUAAGGUGGCUGAGUAUGUUUGGAGUUUUCUACAUCUUCUGUACUGUUCCAUUGAUCCUCAAGUCUGUUUUGUUUUGUUUUGCCAGUACCAUGAUGUUUUUAUCACAGUAGCUCUGUAGUAUAAUUUCAAGUUGGGGAUUGUGAUGCUCCCUGCCUUGCCUUUGUUGCUCGGAAUUGCUUUGGCUAUUCUAGUUCUCUUCUGGUUCCAAAUGAAUUUUAGGAUUGUUUUCUAUAGUUCUGUGAGGUAUGCUGUGGGUAUUUUGAUUGUAAUUGCAUUAAAUAUGUAUAACAAUUUUGGAAGUAUGGUCAUUUCCACUAUAUUAAUUCUUCCUACCCAAGAGAAAGAGACAUCUUUCCAUUUUCUGAUAUCCUCUUUUAUCUCCUUUUCAAGAGUACUGUAGUUUUAAAUGGAAAGGUCUUUUACUUCUUUUGUUAGAUUGAUUCCUAAAUAUUUCAUUUUUCUUGAUGUUAUUGUGAAAGAUGUUGUUUCCCUAAUUUCUCUUUCAGUGAAUUUGUUAUUUGUGGACAGGAAUGCUAUUGAUUUUUGAGUAUUGACUUUGUAUUCUGCUACAUUACUGAAUUUGGUUAUUCAAUCUAGGAAUCUUAUGGUGGCAUUUUUUGGGUCUUCUAUAUAGAGUAUCAUGCUAUCUGUAAAUAACGAUAAUUUAACUUAUUCCUUUCCUAUCCUUAUUCCUUUUAUGUUUUUCUAUUGUCUAAUUGCUCUGGCUGAUGUUCCAGAACUAUAUUAAAUAGGAGUGGUGACAGUGGACAUCCUUGUCUUGUUUCCAAUUUUAGAGUGACAGUUUCAGUUUUUGACCAUUUAGUAUGAUGUUGGUUGUUGGUUUGUCAGAGAUGGCUUUUAUCAGAAUGAUAAAGACCUUAUAUUCCAAUUUUCUGUAGAUUUUUAAAAAAACAUGAAUGGAUGUUGGGCUUUGUCAAAUGCUUUUUCUGUGUCUAUUGAGAUGAUCAUGUGGUUUUUGUUCUUGGUUCUGUUAAUGUGGCGUAUUACAUUUUUUGAUUUGCAUAUGUUGAACCAUCCAUACAUGCCUAGGAUGAAUCCUGCUUGGUCAUGUUAUGUAAGCUUCUUGAUGAUUUUCUGCAUUCUGUUUACCAGUGUCUUACUGAAGAUUUUUGAAUCUAUGUUCAUUAGGGAGCUUGCCCUGUAGUUCUCUUUUUUGGUUGGAUCCUUCUCUAGUUUUUGUAUCAGCAUAAUGCUUGCUUCCAGGAAUAAGUCUGUGAGUAUUGCUUCCUUUCUAAUUUCAUUAAAGAGUUUGAGGAAUAGUGGCAUUAGAUCUUCCCUAGAUUUUAUGUAGAAUUCAGCAGUAAAUCCAUCAGGACCUGAGCUUUUCUUUGUUGAUAGUUUUCUAAUUAUUUUUUCAAUUUUAUUGACAUCAGGUUAUUUUAAAUUUUUAUAUCUUCUUGAUUCAGCUUUGGUAAUUCAUAUGCAUCAAGCAAUUUGUCCAUUUCUCUUGAGUUUUCCACUUUGUUAGAGUACAGUUUCUUGAAAUAGCUAUUGAUUAUAUUCUGGAUUUCUGCAGGCUCCAUUGUGACUUUACCCUUUACAUUCCUAAUUGCAUGGAUUUGAGUCUUUUCUUUCCUUUUUUUUUCCAUAAGCUUGGCUAAAGGUUUGUCUAUUUCAUUUAAUCUUUGAAAGAACCACCUCUUCAAUUCAUUAAUUUUCUGUAAUCUCAGUCUCAAUUGCAUUAAUUUCUCCUCUGAUGUUUAUAAUCCCCCCCCCCCCUUGUGGGUGCUUUGGGUUUAACUUGCUCUUCUUUUACUAGAAGCUUGAUACGCAACAUUAGGUUGUUUAUUUGAGCUUGCUCUGUUUUUCUGAUGUGGAAAUUCACCACUAUGUAUUUCCCUUGUAGGACUGCUUUCAUUGCAUCCCGUAAGAUUUGUAUGUUGUAUUGGCAUUAUCAUUUAAUUGUGGAAACUGUCUAAUUUCUGCUUUAAUUUCAUCUGUGCCCUAUUAGUUGUUCAGGAGGGUAUUAUUUAAUUUCCACAUGUUUGGGAAGUUUUUCUAGCUUCUUUUGCCAUUGAUUUCCAAUUUUAUUGUACUGGGAUCGGAUAAUAUGCACUGGAUAAUUUCAGUGCCUUUGCAUUUAAUUAAGCAUGUUCUGUGGGCUAGUAUGUAGUUUAUUUUGGGAAAAGUUCCAUGUACAGCUGAAAAGAAUGUGUAUUCUGUUGUUGUGGGGUGGAAUACUCUAUACAUAUCUACUGAGUGCAUUUGUUCAAAGGUUUGGUUCAGCUGUAAUAUUUCUUUGUUGAUUUUUUUGUCUAGCUCAUCUAUUUGUGACAGUGAGGCACUGAGGUCCCCUAUUGUAAUUGUAUUAGUACUUAUUUGAUUUUUCACGUCCAUUAUUAUUUGUUUUAUGUAGUUGCGUGGGCUGGUAUUUGGUGCAUAUAUAUUUAUGAUUGUUAUCUCUUAUUCUUGGAUUGUUCCCUUAAUAAGUAUGUAGUGAUCUUCCUUGUCUCUUUUGAUCAGUCUUGGUUUGAAAUCCACUUUGUCUGCAAAUAGAAUAGCCACCUCUGCUUUUUUCUGUGUUCCUGGAGCACGGAGUGUUGUUUCCCAUCCUUUGGUUUUCAGUUUAUUCAUUUCUUUUUGAGUUGAAUGUGUUUCUUGUACGCAGCAUAUUGUUGGAUCUUGUUUCUGGACCCAUUUGGCGAGUCUGUUUCUUUUGAUUGGUGAAUUGAGACCAUUUACAUUGAUGGAUAUAACUGAUAUGUAUUGCCUUAUCCUUGUCAUGUUAUUUUCCUAUUGUUGGUUUCCUUUUUUCCCUUCUGUUUAAUUGCCACAGAAAUACCAUCUCCAGUGAGAAAUGGAUGGAUCCUGUAAUUAUUUAGGAGGCAGAAAGGACAAGACCAACCUGGUAAGGGAUAGGGGGAGGGGAUGAGAGAGUAAAAGAAAGGCUCAAGUUGCCUGGCAUUAUCCUUAAUGAGUGUUGGAUUUGGCACCUAUUGGUUCUGCAAUCUCGGCAAGCUCUUCAGAUGUGUCAAUGCCCCAGUCCCCCAUCUGUAGAGUAGGAAUAGCAGUAACAUCUACUUCAUAGGCUUGUUGUGAGAAGUAAAUGACUUACUACAUGUAAAUUGUUCCUAACUAUGUCUGGCACAGAGUGUUUAGCCUGGGUUAUCUAUCAGUUCUCAUCCUCAUCACCAGGGCCAGGAUGGGAAAGCAGGUAAGUAGGGAGGCUUGUAAGAGAGGAAAACGUGAAUGGUCAGAAGGGGAGUCCAGGAGGAAUGAAGUGGAAGAGCUAGCUCCCUAGUCGAGUGGCUACAGAAUGUUAAACAUCUCUCACCAUCCCUGAAGAGAAAGGUUUCAUUUAACGUGGGACUGAAAGUCAUUUAAGGAGCUCAAGAGAAAUGGGAUUUGAGGCAUGCUGCUUUUACUCGAGAUUUGUGUCAACUGGUUAUACUGCUUUGAUUAUUGUUUUAAGCAUGUCCCGGGGGGUUGGGGCAGGAAAAGAAGAGUUGAGCAUCCUCAUUUUUAGUGGGAAGGACUGUAAGCCAUUCUGGGUCACAGCCAGAGUCUGGAGGGUUGUACCUAACAGAUUUCUGCAACAAUUAAUUGAAGCCCAACAGCAAGAAUAACAUAAGAGGCCUAAGAGAGGUCAUUAACCUCAGGCAGUGGAGGAUGCUGUGCGAGUAGGUAGGACAAGUAGGAAGGAGACACUCCAGGCUGCUGUGACCAGGGCCCAUUAACAGGCAAAGCCCGCUUAUGGGGGUCUGAGAGGCUCAAGUGUUUGGCAUGUAUGACUUUCAUCCUCUUAGUUUUCCCUCCAAGAAGGAGAUAUUAUUGAGCUCAUUUUAAGGAUGAAGAGACAGAGUUUAGAGCUUAAGUAACAUUUUCCACCAACCAGGAAGAAGUAGAGCCAGAUUUCCACCAGGAUCUAUCCCUGUCCUCUUUGCUGUGUGGCAGUCCCUGCUGGUGCUGCUCAGGAUGUGCCGUGUAGGGCAGUGUGUAUCUGCAUUACAGGGGCAAAUUGGUGGCUCCUACUCACUGAGUCUGGGAGCUUACUGAGCCCCAGAAGGAGCAGGGUAUGAGCCCUUGUCAUGUCUCUCACAGGCUGAAGAGAGAGGAGUUCUGGAAGACACAGCUGCAGCUCAGUGAGGAAAAACCUCAUCCUGCAUGAUGUGAUGGCUAAUUUUAUAUGUUGGCUUGACUAGACCAUGGGGUACCCAUAUAUUUGGGGUGCAUAAACAUUCUGGGUGUUCUAUGAAGGUGUGUUGGGAUGAGAUUAACACUUAAAUAGGUAAACUGAGUAAAGCAAAUUACUUUCCCUAAUGUGGGUGGGCCUCAUCCAAUCAGUUGAAAGCCUGACUAGAACAAAGCCUCCCCUGAGUUAGAAGGAAUUCCUCCAGCCUGCCUGCCUUCAAACAGGGACCCUGGCUUUUUCCUGCCUUUAAGAUUUGAACUGAAACAUUGGCUCUUCUCUGAUCUCCAGCUUGCUGACCCUCUUCACAGACCUUGGGAGUUGUCAACCUCCAUAAUCACAUGAGUACACAUGUGCACAUGCACGCAGACACACGCACAUGCACACACACGCACAUGCGCACACACCUAGCUCUAUUUCUCUGAUAAAUAUGGUAUGAUGCCCUGUACAUACAUGACAACAAAUGGUCACCAAGCAAAAAAAAAAAUCUUUCUCUUUAAAACGCAGUAGGUGGUAGCCAUAUUUACAGUAGUAUGUGGGCCCGAGAAGAUAUUAAUUAUCCCUUGCACUAGGUCUUGUGGACCUUGAUCCAAAGACAGGGAGAAUGAAGAUGGCCAGCCUUUGAUGGAGUGCAGUUAAUGGUGCCCUUGUGUGGCUGGCAGGGAACCAAGAUCUGACCUCCUUUUCAGCCCCUGUGAAUGCAACACUGACUGCACUGGUGUCUGCUGGCCAGUCAAGAUGCUCUGCCCCCACCAAGGGUGGAGAAGAAGGGAAGAGCCCGUGUCUCACACAAUGCAAAGCGAAGAAAGGAAGACAUUAAAACCCUUUUUCAAUUCCUAGCAAGGGAAGUUUGGAAAUUACCCUCUGAGACCUUCCUGCUAUAGCUCAUGUAUCUGUUUUGUAUGGAAUUAUGAUUGGUAUUAGUAAUAGUAAUAGCAAGCAGUAAUUGCUAUGUUCUAGUUGUGCUAAGUACUUUAAGCAUAUCAUUUCAUUUAACCUUUACACUACAUGAAGCAGUUUCUCUUUUUAUCCUGUUGUACAAAUGAAAAAACAGACUCAGAGAGAUUGAUUGACUUGCCUAAGAUCUCAUAGCUACUAAUUGGUCCACCAAGGUUUCACCAGGUGAUGUAAUGCUACAGACUAUGCUGGCUAUUCUCUAAGGAGAAUGUGGUCAUUAUCAUUGGGUUCUUUUGAUUGGCUUCAUAAUGCUAAAGAACUCCUUCAUGUUCCUAAGUGAUGUGGUCCCCAACUGACAAUUGCAAUAGAAUGUUGGACAUUUAGACUGAUGACCAGGUGCACAACUUGCCUAUUUGACCAGGUGCCCAGUUUACCUAUUAAAUGUUACCUUACCCAAUGUUGCUUCUGAUUGGGUGUGCCAUCUUUUUAGAUGACAAUUCCUCCUAACAGUAACAUUUUCUGCUUCUCAGGGUUAUAAUCAGGCCACCUGAUUUGGUUCCAAUCCUUGCUGUGCUCCUCAAGCUGAGCAGCCAUGGGAAAGUGACUCAGCUUUCAGAGCCCAGUCUUUGUACCUGUCCAGCAGGGAUUCUAAUGCCUCCCUCAUAGGUCAUCAUGCAGUUCAAGGGUAAAUUUGGCCAAGCACCCCACGCGGUGCCUGGCACUUAGAAGGUGUUCGGAAUGUUCUUCUCCCAGAGAAAAAGUGAUUCCUUCUUGGUCCUGUCGUUACAUCCACCACCUAACUCUUGGAUGCGUCUUAGGGUUUCCUCAAUGCACAUAUAUAGAACCCUUCAGUUCAACUGAGCAAACAUUCAUUGAGUCCAAAUGAGAUACUGCAAAUAUGAUGGUGAAGUAGGCCCGGGGUUCCCAAGUGUCCUUGGCUGCUGGUUUAUUCUUGUCUGUGUGUCCAUGGCACAGGUUCAUAGGACAGACAGGAGGCUGCGCAGGACCUGGGCCUUAGAUGGAUGCUGCUACUUGCCUUUUAGAGACUAGAAUAUGAAUUCUCUAACUUCACUCCAGCAAUGGACAUGACACGCUAAUGUCUCAUAUCGCAGAGCAUGAAUUUUGGAAAGAACCUUCCUAGGGCAUAGUAAAAAGAAUUCUGCUCUGCAACUUGGAGGUGUUCUCUUUAGCAGUAGAAAGGAGGCAUCAGGAUGAAGGCGUUUCUGAUUGGUCUUUCUACUUUCUCUCAUGUUUAUUAUUAUUAUUAUUAUUUUUUAAGAUCCACCCCCAAAAGUCAUCAUUUUAACAGAGGAAAGGGAAAAGCCAUAUGAUCCUGUCACUAGUUGGAGAAAAAGUAUUGGACUAAAUUCUACAGCUGUUCAUGGUAAAAGCUAUCAGGAGACUAGAAGUAGAACAGGAACUUCUCAACAGAUUAAAGACAUGUACUUCAUACUUCCAGCAAGAAUGCCUUAUAUGAAUGGAGAAGAUGCAAUGCUUUUUCCUUAAGGUGGGGAACAAGGGCAGAUAUGCUUACUCUUUAUCUGUCCAUUAAACUUUGAAACCUCGGCCCAAACCAAAAUAGUCUGGCAAUAAAAUGACACAAUUGGGAUAGGAUUGGCAAGGUCGAAGCAAAAUCUUUAUACGUAGAUGAAAUGAUCAUCUACAGAGAAAAUACUAAGAAAUCUCUAGGAGCCCCUAGAACUUGUAUUUGAAUGUAGCAGCAUGAGAAAACACAAGAUGUAUAUAAAAAUUCAGGUCUAUGUAUACUUGCUAUAAAUGAAGAAUUGAAUAUUGAAAUUUAAAAGUUAUGUAGGAGUACAAAGGACCUAGAAAAGUUAAAAAAAAAGUUUUGGGAGGUGUUUAGUACCUAAUUUUAAGACUUCUUCUAAAGGUACAGGAAUCAAAGCAGUGCUGGUGUAAGGAAAGAAGUACAGAUCAUUGGAAUAAAACAGAGAAUCUAGAAAUAGAACCACACAUAUAUGGUCCACUGAGUUUUGAAAGGUUAUUUAACAUUAGCUUUUAUAGAAUAUAAACUCAAUUCAAGAGCCGAGGAAGAGAUAGUUUUCAGCCAAUGGCACUAGAACACCUGGUAUCCAUAUAUAAAAAAUUAACCUCAAC